Molecule: long non-coding RNA, 1531 nt
Filed under: Coffea arabica (coffee)
Lineage: Eukaryota; Viridiplantae; Streptophyta; Magnoliopsida; Gentianales; Rubiaceae
Description: long non-coding RNA (CARA_LNC005165)
Source: RNAcentral
AUUGACAGGGUAAAUCUUGAGAUCCAGCAGGCUGAGCGAGAGUAUGACCUCAACCGUGCGGCUGAACUAAAAUAUGGGAGCUUGAACUCUUUGCAGCGUCAGCUUGAAGCUGCAGAAAAAGAAUUAGAUGAGUAUAUGAAGUCUGGGAAGUCCAUGCUUAGAGAAGAAGUUACGGGAGAUGAUAUAGCUGAGAUUGUCAGUAAAUGGACUGGAAUACCAGUUUCUAAGCUAAAGCAGUCAGAGAGGGAAAAGCUGUUGCAUCUGGAGGAAGAGCUUCAUAAAAGAGUUGUUGGUCAGGAUCCUGCAGUGAGAUCUGUGGCAGAGGCUAUCCAACGAUCUCGAGCAGGCCUUUCAGAUCCACACCGUCCAAUUGCUAGUUUUAUGUUCAUGGGACCUACGGGGGUUGGAAAAACAGAACUAGCGAAGGCUCUGGCUUCAUACAUGUUUAACACUGAAGAAGCACUUGUAAGAAUUGAUAUGAGCGAAUACAUGGAGAAGCAUGCAGUUUCAAGGUUAGUAGGAGCUCCACCUGGUUAUGUAGGCUACGAAGAAGGAGGACAGUUGACUGAGGUUGUUCGCAGAAGGCCAUAUGCUGUUAUUUUGUUUGAUGAGAUAGAGAAGGCUCACUCUGAUGUAUUCAAUGUUUUCCUGCAAAUUCUGGAUGAUGGUAGAGUUACCGACUCUCAGGGGCGUACCGUGAGUUUUACUAACACUGUGAUCAUUAUGACUUCAAACGUGGGUUCCCAAUAUAUACUUGACACAGAUGAUGACGCCUUGCCCAAAGAAAUGGCUUAUGAAACUAUAAAACAACGGGUUAUGGAGGCUGCAAGAGCUGUUUUUCGUCCAGAGUUCAUGAAUCGGGUUGAUGAGUACAUAGUUUUCCAGCCUCUGGACCGUGAUCAAAUCAACAGCAUAGUCAGAUUACAGGUAAAUUCUUUUUCCAUUAAUAAUAGACGAGUUUUUCAAGUAUGUUGGUGACUAUAUUUCAUUUUGUGGCAAUAAUAUAGGAAAUUAUGUUGAAAAUGCAUGUACUGGGUAGUGCUGUUGGAAUCGGCUAACUUGGUGAAAUAAACUUUAAUUGAUUUAUUUUUACUAGGAAUUUUCAGACUGAUGAUGAAUAAGUGUGUUGAACAACUUAUUUAACUGGGUUGAAUAAGUUUAGUUCUUUGAGAUAGACGAACAAACAGGCGUACUCGUACUCCCAAACGCCAAUUGUUCAUGUGUCCUCAUCUUCCUUCGACUCUGUGCAUAAGGAAUUUGACCAUCUUCAUGUACUUUAUUGACAUUAUGUCUCUGUUACAGCUGCAACGAGUACGGCAGAGGAUUUCAGAUCGGAAGAUGAAGAUUCACGUGACUGAUGCUGCCAUUCAACUGCUAGGCACUCUUGGGUAUGAUCCUAACUAUGGAGCUAGGCCUGUGAAGCGGGUAAUACAGCAAUAUGUUGAGAACGAGCUUGCUAAAGGAAUCUUGAGAGGAGAAUUCAAGGAUGAGGAUUCGGUGUUGAUAGACACCGAGGUAACAGCAUUUGCUA